RNAcentral lists this ribosomal RNA (246 nucleotides) under Triticum aestivum (bread wheat). RNAcentral's name for it is "partial small subunit ribosomal RNA". The record is from RNAcentral. Lineage: Eukaryota; Viridiplantae; Streptophyta; Magnoliopsida; Poales; Poaceae.
AUGGCCAGAGGCGGGCGGCGCGGCUUCCUGAGGAGCCUAGGGCGGCCAUGCAGGAGAGGGAGGCGCAGGCGGGAGGAGGCGCCGAGGCGGACGUGUGAGGGGGCGGCCACGGCGGUGCUGGUCGCCGGCAUCAGGACGCGUGGCCCGAGGGCAAGUAGCAAGGGCGAGGAAGGCAGCAACAGGCGCGGGGAAGGGCAGAAAUGGAGGAAGGGGGCCGCGCGAAGGCCGUCGCGCUCGCCGGAGUAG